RNAcentral lists this ribosomal RNA (253 nucleotides) under uncultured bacterium. RNAcentral's name for it is "partial 16S ribosomal RNA". It matches the Rfam family "Bacterial small subunit ribosomal RNA", at positions 524 to 776 of the family's 1533-position model. The record is from RNAcentral.
UACGUAGGGUGCAAGCGUUGUCCGGAAUUAUUGGGCGUAAAGAGCUCGUAGGCGGUUUGUUGCGUCGGUUGUGAAAACCUGAGGCUCAACCUCAGGCCUGCAGUCGAUACGAGCAGACUAGAGUGUUGCAGGGGAGACUGGAAUUCCUGGUGUAGCGGUGAAAUGCGCAGAUAUCAGGAGGAACACCGGUGGCGAAGGCGGGUCUCUGGGCCGAUAUUGACGCUGAGGAGCGAAAGCGUGGGGAGCGAACAGG